This 44-nucleotide transfer RNA is filed under the name Phocoena spinipinnis (Burmeister's porpoise). RNAcentral's name for it is "partial tRNA-Thr". Lineage: Eukaryota; Metazoa; Chordata; Mammalia; Artiodactyla; Phocoenidae. The record is from RNAcentral.
AGUCUUGUAACCGAAAAAGGAGGGUCCCACUCCUCCCUAAGACU